UAAUCCUACGGGGGGCAGCAGUGGGGAAUAUUGGGCAAUGGGCGCAAGCCUGACCCAGCAACGCCGCGUGAAGGAAGAAGGCUUUCGGGUUGUAAACUUCUUUUAAGAGGGACGAAGGAAGUGACGGUACCUCUUGAAUAAGCCACGGCUAACUACGUGCCAGCAGCCGCGGUAAUACGUAGGUGGCAAGCGUUAUCCGGAUUUAUUGGGUGUAAAGGGCGUGUAGGCGGGAGCGCAAGUCAGAUGUGAAAACUCCGGGCUCAAACCUGAGACUGCAUUUGUAACUGUGUGUCUUGAGUGCUGGG
This 305-nucleotide ribosomal RNA is filed under the name uncultured bacterium. RNAcentral's name for it is "bacterial SSU rRNA". It matches the Rfam family "Bacterial small subunit ribosomal RNA", at positions 334 to 653 of the family's 1533-position model. The record is from RNAcentral.